RNAcentral lists this transfer RNA (75 nucleotides) under Candidatus Zambryskibacteria bacterium RIFCSPLOWO2_01_FULL_47_14. Its description in RNAcentral is "tRNA-Asn". It matches the Rfam family "tRNA". From Rfam's summary of the family: Transfer RNA (tRNA) molecules are approximately 80 nucleotides in length. Their secondary structure includes four short double-helical elements and three loops (D, anti-codon, and T loops). Further hydrogen bonds mediate the characteristic L-shaped molecular structure. tRNAs have two regions of fundamental functional importance: the anti-codon, which is responsible for specific mRNA codon recognition, and the 3' end, to which the tRNAs corresponding amino acid is attached (by aminoacyl-tRNA synthetases). tRNAs cope with the degeneracy of the genetic code in two manners: having more than one tRNA (with a specific anti-codon) for a particular amino acid; and 'wobble' base-pairing, i.e. permitting non-standard base-pairing at the 3rd anti-codon position. The record is from RNAcentral. Lineage: Bacteria; Candidatus Zambryskiibacteriota.
UCCGGAGUAGCUCAAUGGUAGAGCGUCUCCCUGUUAAGGAGAGUGUUGUAGGUUCGAGUCCUACCUCCGGAGCCA